RNAcentral lists this ribosomal RNA (504 nucleotides) under uncultured bacterium. RNAcentral's name for it is "partial 16S ribosomal RNA". It matches the Rfam family "Bacterial small subunit ribosomal RNA", at positions 30 to 523 of the family's 1533-position model. The record is from RNAcentral.
AUUGAACGCUAGCGGCAUGCCUAACACAUGCAAGUCGAACGGCAGCACGAGGAGCUUGCUCCUUGGUGGCGAGUGGCGGACGGGUGAGUAACGCGUAAGAAUCUGCCUCGUAGUGGGGGACAACCCGGGGAAACUCGGGCUAAUACCGCAUAAUCUCUUCGGAGCAAAGUUGGGGACCUUCGGGCCUAACACUAUGAGAUGAGCCUGCGUUGGAUUAGCGAGUUGGUGGGGUAAAGGCCUACCAAGGCGACGAUCCAUAGCUGGUCUGAGAGGACGACCAGCCACAAUGGGACUGAGACACGGCCCAGACUCCUACGGGAGGCAGCAGUGGGGAAUAUUGGACAAUGGGCGAAAGCCUGAUCCAGCAAUGCCGCGUGUGUGAAGAAGGCCUUCGGGUUGUAAAGCACUUUUAGUGGGGAAGAAAAAGACAAGGAUAAUACCCUUGGAAAUUGACGUUACCCACAGAAAAAGCACUGGCUAACUCUGUGCCAGCAGCCGCCGUAA